This 2448-nucleotide long non-coding RNA is filed under the name Homo sapiens (human). RNAcentral's name for it is "non-protein coding lnc-OR13H1-5:1". Lineage: Eukaryota; Metazoa; Chordata; Mammalia; Primates; Hominidae. The record is from RNAcentral.
CUGACGUCCAGGCAUUCUUUUACACAUCGGUCCCUUCCUAGUCUCUGUUCCCAGUGUAACUAGUCCCAAAUCUUCAACCCAUUAUUCUGUUCUAGAUCUCAAACAUGCUUUCUUUACUGUUCCCCUGCACCCCUCGUCCCAGCCUCUCUUUGCUUUCUGCUCCCCGGCUCCUUCAGCUGUACUCACUCUUUGUUAGGUCCCACAAUUACCAUUGUUCCUGGCCCGGAGAAUGCUACAAGGUACAGCCCAUUUGAGCUCCUGUAUAGACACUCCUUUUUAUUAGGCCCCAGUCUCAUCCAGACACCAGACCAACUUAGACUGUGCCCCCAAAAAACUUGUCAUCCCUACUAUCUUCUGUCUAGUCAUACUCCUAUUCACCGUUCUCAACUACUCAUACAUGCCCUGAUCUUGUUUACACUGCUGUUUCUCCAAGCCAUCGCAGCUGAUAUCUCCUGGUGCUAUCCCCAAACUGCCACUCUAAACUCUUGAAAAAAAAUAAUAAAAAAUGAAAUAAAAAUAUAUGGCAUUGGCCAGGUGCGGUGGCUCACAACUGUAAUCCCAGCAGUUUGGGAGACUGAGGCAGGUGGAUCACUUGAGCCCAAGAGUUCGAGACCAGCCCAGGCAAUGUAGUGAGACCCUGGCUCUACAAAAAAUAGCCAGGCACGGUGGUGUGUAUCUGUAGUUCAAGUUACUUGGAAGUCUGAGUUGGGAGGAUUACGUCAGCGCAGGGAGGUCGAUGAUGCAGUGAGCCACGAUCAUGCCACUGUACUCCAGUCUGGGUGAUAGGGUGAGAGCCUGUCUAAAAAAUAUAUAUAUAUGUCAUUUUAAAACUGUGUAUACAUACAGACAGAUAUGAUGCAGAUACACAGUCCCACACACAUUUUACUUUCAAUAUAAUUCAAUGCAUACUGUUUGCAAUUUUGUACAAAAUCUUUAGAACACCUUAUAAUAUCUGCAUGAAUCCAUAUCAAUAUAUACUUUUGAGGGCUUGAGAUUUUUGGAUUUUACUCUAGAAGAACUUUAAGAAAUUAUAAUUCAAAAAGUAUAUGGUAGGUCAAACAUAGUGAGACGAAGUAAUUUAAAAUGUCUGGGCCAUAUAUUAUCAUCUGUUGACGAUGCACAUAUAAUAUGAACUUAUAAGCCAAUGUUCAAAUUAUCCUGUAGUGUAACUAUUAAAACAAGUUAUCUUCACUUACAAAUUAAGUACUUUUCAAAUAUAAUAAUUAAUUAUUCUUGGAAAUAAUAAUAGGUUUUAAAAUAUUGGCACUUUUUAGAACUGAGUUAUGCUAAAUUCUUUCCUUAUUGUACUCUACUGGCUAAGGAACAAAAAGGCUCACCCGGCCUCCAGUUAUACAGUUCAUGGCUAUUCUUAUAAAGUUCAUAGAAGGCUCUAGAGGGAACGCAUGUAAAGCGGCACCGGUGCCCACCUAAGUAACGCCAGAGACGUCUGGAACUCUAAGUUUGGACCCCACAGGAGGAUGCUCUGGAAGAUCCUCCGUGCCUCAAAUUCUCCAAAGAGGAUGCUUUCUGCAGAGGUUCUAAGGUCUAGUAUUAAGCCCUCCUUGGAAUUUUCUCUCAGAGUUGUAAUGUUCCUUGGCCCCAAAAUUGUUUAGAAUCUGAAGUUUAUUGUCUAAUGGGAAAGCCGGAUGGUGUUGCAUGUAACCGGGCUUUUGUGCUGCUGUUCUAAGUAGGGGGCCUCGUUAACGUGUGAUGCCUUCCUUUGUUAGUUUGGCCCCAGUGAUCCUUAUUGGAGUCUGGGGAGGUUUAGACUUUAAAAAUCAAACUGCCAUGGAGACUGCUUACCCGAAAUUUUGGUUCACAGCCUUCAUUGGAUUAUCUGUUGGGGCAAAGUAAAACUGGCAAGCUUGUAUUGCUAUCUCAUGGCUAAAGUUGCAAGCUAUUGGAGCCUGCAGCUCCCACGCAAGGGGAAGAGGAGGAAGUCCUCCCCUACAAAGCGAAUUCACAAACUUGAAAGAAGCAAUUUACACAGGAUGUGCAGAUCUCAACGGAAGGACACCGGAAACAUCAAAAGCAAGGAAACGGGAUACUUCCAAAGGAACCCAGUAAUUCUCCAGCAACAGAUCCCUAUCCAAAAGAAAUUCAAGAAAUGUCAGAUAGAGAAUUGUGCAUACUGAUUUUAACCAAGAUUAGGGGAUACAAGAGACUUCUGAAAAAGAAAGGAGCGAAAUGACAGAAGCAAUUCUGGAUAUGGUUGAGGUAAUUACCAACCAGAUACGGAGUUUUCCAGGGCACACAGCAAAUGUGGAACUGAAGAAAUCAUAGGAUGAAAUACAAAGUACACUCAAAAGCUUCAAUGAUAGACUAGAUCAAGCAGAAAAAACCCUCAGAACUUAAAAUCUGAAAGCCUUUUUCUCAAUUCAAAGAUUUAAAGGGUUGUACUCUGGCCAUUCACGUGAACAAAAUCUGCUGGGUUAAUUGGUUUGGUUU